This 400-nucleotide ribosomal RNA is filed under the name phytoplankton environmental sample. RNAcentral describes it as "partial small subunit ribosomal RNA". It matches the Rfam family "Eukaryotic small subunit ribosomal RNA", at positions 587 to 987 of the family's 1831-position model. The record is from RNAcentral.
AGCUCCAAAAGCGUAUAUUAAAGUUGUUGCGGUUAAAAAGCUCGUAGUUGGAUCUCAGGGAGGCGUGCGCGGUUGGCCCGUCGUGGUCUUACUGCGUGCGACUCUCACCGACCGCGGGUCGCGGGUGCUCUUCGCUGAGUGUUCGUCGACUGCGGCCACGUUUACUUUGAAAAAAUUAGAGUGUUCAAAGCAGGCGUCUCUUUCGCCCGCAUAUCCCAGCAUGGAAUAAUGGAAUAGGAGGCUGGUUCUAUUUUGUUGGUUUUCGGAAUCUAGCCUAAUGGUUAAGAGGAACGGCCGAGGGCAUUCGUAUUGUGGCGUUAGAGGUGAAAUUCUUAGAUCGCCGCAAGACGAACAAGUGCGAAAGCAUUUGCCAAGAAUGUUUUCAUUAAUCAAGAACGAA